CAAUAGCGUAUAUUAAAGCGGUUGCGGUUAAAAAGCUCGUAGUUGGAUUUCUGUCAAGGACAACUGGUCCGCCCUCCGGGUGAGCACAUAGUUUGGUCUUGACAUCUUGCUGGAAGCUGUUGCUGCACUUGGCUGUGUGGCGCAGUGUUCAGCACUUUCACUUUGAGGAAAUUGGAGUGUUUCAAGCAGGCACAUGCCUUUGGACACAGUAGCAUGGAAUAAUUAGAUUGGGCUUUUGCUCCAAUUUGUCGGUUUCUGGAGCUGAGGUGAGUAUUAAUGGGGAUUGUUGGGGGCAUCCGAAUUUAGCCGUCAGAGGUGAAAUUCUUGGAUCUGCUAAAGACGGACAACUGCGAAAGCGUUUGCCCAGGAUGUUUUCAUUGA
RNAcentral lists this ribosomal RNA (381 nucleotides) under uncultured eukaryote. Its description in RNAcentral is "partial 18S ribosomal RNA". It matches the Rfam family "Eukaryotic small subunit ribosomal RNA", at positions 592 to 976 of the family's 1831-position model. The record is from RNAcentral.